Molecule: long non-coding RNA, 473 nt
Filed under: Nicotiana benthamiana
Lineage: Eukaryota; Viridiplantae; Streptophyta; Magnoliopsida; Solanales; Solanaceae
Description: long non-coding RNA (NBEN_LNC042572)
Source: RNAcentral
AAGAACACCAAAAAUAAAAUAACAAACAAUAGCAACAACAAUAUAAUAGGAACAAAUGGCACAACAUGUAACAUAAAGAACCAGGAAUAAGAAAAAAUUAUACAAAUAAUACUAGUACUACUGAUAAGACUAAGGGACUAGCUUCUACCGUCAACCUUCCACCCUGAUUCUCGACCUCCACCAUAUCCUAUCGAGGGUCAUAUCCUUGGUAAGAUGAAGCAAUGAUAUAUAUUGCAUAAUCAUCUCACCCUAAUACUUCUUAGGCUUACCCAUAUCCUUCCUUAGACCCGCCAUGAUACACCUAUCACACUUUCUGAUCAGAGUAUUUACGACUUUUCUCUAUACGUACUCGAAGUAUCUCAACCUCGAUUCCCGCAAUUUGAAACCUACCACACUUACUACAUGUGCAUCUCUCCUUAUCCAAACCUCCAUAAGUGCCAAUGAAAUUUAUAGAAAACUAACAAACCUUUCCC